GAUGAACGCUGGCGGCGUGCUUAACACAUGCAAGUCGAACGAUGAAGCCCAGCUUGCUGGGUGGAUUAGUGGCGAACGGGUGAGUAACACGUGAGUAACCUGCCCUUAACUCUGGGAUAAGCCUGGGAAACUGGGUCUAAUACCGGAUAGGAGCGUCCACCGCAUGGUGGGUGUUGGAAAGAUUUAUCGGUUUUGGAUGGACUCGCGGCCUAUCAGCUUGUUGGUGAGGUAAUGGCUCACCAAGGCGACGACAGGUAGCCGGCCUGAGAGGGUGACCGGCCACACUGGGACUGAGACACGGCCCAGACUCCUACGGGAGGCAGCAGUGGGGAAUAUUGCACAAUGGGCGCAAGCCUGAUGCAGCGACGCCGCGUGAGGGAUGACGGCCUUCGGGUUGUAAACCUCUUUCAGUAGGGAAGAAGCGAAAGUGACGGUACCUGCAGAAGAAGCACCGGCUAACUACGUG
This 466-nucleotide ribosomal RNA is filed under the name uncultured bacterium. RNAcentral's name for it is "partial 16S ribosomal RNA". It matches the Rfam family "Bacterial small subunit ribosomal RNA", at positions 28 to 507 of the family's 1533-position model. The record is from RNAcentral.